ACGAACGCUGGCGGCGUGCCUAAUACAUGCAAGUCGAGCGAGGAUCCCUUCGGGGUGCUAGCGGCGGAUGGGUGAGUAACACGUGGGCAAUCUGCCCUAAAGACUGGGAUACCACUUGGAAACAGGUGCUAAUACCGGAUAACAACAUGAUCGCAUGAUUCAAGUUGAAAGGCGGCAAUGUCACUUUAGGAUGAGCCCGCGGCGCAUUAGCUAGUUGGUUGGGUAAAGGCCUACCAAGGCAAUGAUGCGUAGCCGAGUUGGGAGACUGAUCGGCCACAUUGGGACUGAGACACGGCCCAAACUCCUACGGGAGGCAGCAGUAGGGAAUCUUCCACAAUGGACGCAAGUCUGAUGGAGCAACGCCGCGUGAGUGAAGAAGGUCUUCGGAUCGUAAAGCUCUGUUGUUGGUGAAGAAGGAUAGAGGCGUAAGUCUUUAUUUGACGGUAAUCAACCAGAAAGUCACGGCUAACUACGUGCCAGCAGCCGCGGUAAUACGUAGGUGGCAAGCGUUGUCCGGAUUUAUUGGGCGUAAAGCGAGCGCACGCGGAAUGAUAAGUCUGAUGUGAAAGCCCACGGCUCAACCGUGGAACUGCAUCGGAACUGUCAUUCUUGAGUGCAGGAGAGGAGAGUGGAACUCCAUGUGUAGCGGUGGAAUGCGUAGAUAUAUGGAAGAACACCAGUGGCGAAGGCGGCUCUCUGGUCUGCAACUGACGCUGAGGCUCGAAAGCAUGGGUAGCGAACAGGAUUAGAUACCCUGGUAGUCCAUGCCGUAAACGAUGAGCGCUAGGUGUUGGGGACUUUCCGUCCUCAGUGCCGCAGCAAACGCAUUAAGCGCUCCGCCUGGGGAGUACGACCGCAAGGUUGAAACUCAAAGGAAUUGACGGGGGCCCGCACAAGCGGUGGAGCAUGUGGUUUAAUUCGAAGCAACGCGAAGAACCUUACCAGGUCUCGACAUCCAGUGCAAACCUAAGAGAUUAGGAGUUCCCUUCGGGGACGCUGAGACAGGUGGUGCAUGGCUGUCGUCAGCUCGUGUCGUGAGAUGUUGGGUUAAGUCCCGCAACGAGCGCAACCCUUGUCAUUAGUUGCCAUCAUUAAGUUGGGCACUCUAAUGAGACUGCCGGUGACAAACCGGAGGAAGGUGGGGAUGACGUCAAGUCAUCAUGCCCCUUAUGACCUGGGCUACACACGUGCUACAAUGGACGGUACAACGAGAAGCGAACCUGCGAAGGCAAGCGGAUCUCUGAAAGCCGUUCUCAGUUCGGACUGUAGGCUGCAACUCGCCUACACGAAGCUGGAAUCGCUAGUAAUCGCGGAUCAGCACGCCGCGGUGAAUACGUUCCCGGGCCUUGCACACACCGCC
RNAcentral lists this ribosomal RNA (1360 nucleotides) under uncultured bacterium. Its description in RNAcentral is "bacterial SSU rRNA". It matches the Rfam family "Bacterial small subunit ribosomal RNA", at positions 29 to 1394 of the family's 1533-position model. The record is from RNAcentral. RNAcentral also lists the same sequence under 1 other name.